This 9141-nucleotide long non-coding RNA is filed under the name Cucumis sativus (cucumber). RNAcentral's name for it is "long non-coding RNA (CSAT_LNC000509)". Lineage: Eukaryota; Viridiplantae; Streptophyta; Magnoliopsida; Cucurbitales; Cucurbitaceae. The record is from RNAcentral.
GGGAAACAUUCCAAAUAUAGAACAGCCACUAAGAAGAAGAUUCUUAAGACUCCUUAACAAAUAAAUUGUAUUGGGAAGGGAGAUGAGGUUUGUGCAACCAUUAAGUUUUAAUGUCCAAAGCUUAGUGAGAUAUCUAAUUGAUGAAGGUAACUCCUUUAUGGCAGUAAAAUCCAAAUUCAAGGUCCUUAAAGAUUUCAUGUUUUCAGCAAUUGUUGGGAAGCUUUCAAGCUUACAACACCCAGAAAGUGAUAAACAUAGAAGAGACUUUAAGCUGAGAUAGCUUGGAAGCUUUACCAGGUUAGUGCAUUGUUUAAGGUACAAACCUUCAAGCUUAUCCAAAGAUCCAACAGAUUCAUGAAUUACUCUUAAAUUUGUGCAUUCAUAGAUAUGCAAGCUCGUAAGGUUUGAUGCUGAAGAUAAGUCUGGAAUUUUCUCAAGUUUUUUGCAGUAAGAGAGAUUCAAUUUUUUAAGAGAACUUAACAUGAAGUAGCCUCUUGGAAGCUUUUUAAGGUUAGAACAACCAUCAAGGUUUAGGACAGUAAGCUUAUCGAGAGAGAAAACAGACUUAUCUAUCAUUCCUAAAUUUGUGCAAUUGGAGAGAUACAACUCUUCAAGGUUUGAUGCUGCAGAGAAAUUAGGAAUUUUCUCUAAGAAAGUAGAGUAGCUAAGAUCAACAAGCUUCAACCUUUCACAAUCCUAAAACACAUUGGAAAAUAAACCAAAAGGAAAAGAGGUAUGUAAUUAGCAUACCAAACAAAAUUUAGAUAAAUCAGUGCCUAAAACAAUAAUUGUAAAUAUAAAAAAUUAUAGAAUAAUAUAGGUAAAAAAAUUCUAUAAAUAAGCAUUAAUCAGUAUUUAGGCAAACUAAUAAUAAGGGAGAAAUUUUAAAAAAUAGCAAAUUUUACAAAAUAUUUACAACUUAUAGCAAAAUUUUUAAAUUCUAUCACUAAUAUACUACGGUGAUAGAAGUUUAUCAAUGACUAUCAUUAAUAGAAUCCAAAAUUUUGCUAUAGCUUGUAAAUAUUUUAAUUUAUUUUGCUAUUUUAAAAAAUGUUUAUAUAUAUAUAUAUAUAAGUAUUUAAUAAAGAAAUUUAAAAAAGAAAUAGUUAUAAAAAAACAAAUUAUUUAUAAUUCAAAAAAUUGCAUAUAGAUACCUUAACUCAACUCUGCAUCCUAAGUACAAACAUAUGAACCUAGAAAAAGCAACUCUCCACCACACACAUAGACAAUAUAAACUCCACAUCAUCAUAUCCCAACUUAACGCCACAAAAAACUCCUUACAUUCCAAAACUAUUAUUAUAGGUCUGUGUUAUUUGUGAAUUAUUUUAAAAUGUAAGUUACCCAUUUAUUGCAUAUAUAGAAAUAAACUUUACCUCAAGUCUUUUCCCAAAUGUUUUGAUGAAGCUAUGUUGCAAAUCUAGUCCAACAAGAUUUUUCAUAGUGAAGAACGAAGGAAAAGUUGGUUGACGAAAUCCAUGCCACUUAAUCCACUUUAAGCUAUCAGGUAGGUACUCAAUCUUUGUAGAAAAUCUUGCAUUUUGAACAAUAAGCAAUCUCAAAUUUUUCAUUUUUCUAAAAGCUUGUGGAUCCACAUCCAGCCUCGUGGAAUUAGGAAAGUCCAACUUUAUGCCUUUAACUGCGUCUGUUCCCUGAAAAAGUUAUAUAUUUAGUAACUUAACAACAUUUCACAAACCUUCUUCGUUAUUUGAAAUAUUAUAAAUAAGUAUGUUAAAGAGAGUUACUCACUUAAUUAUUAACAAGCACCUCCCAAACAUCCUGUACCAACCACAACCUACUCCUCUUUCCAAGCUCAAGAGAUUCACCACAAACUAUUUUAUGACCCAUCUGUUUUAUUAAAUCAUGCAUUUGCAUUAUGCCAUUUUCAAUCGUAAUAAAUGAAAGAUCCGUGAGUACUAUAAUUCCAAAAUCUAGAUUUACAUGACAUGCACUCAACAUAUCCUUAACGUACUUACCUUUCUCUCCCACAAGUAAACAAGAAAUAUCAAGAAAGAUAUCCUUUACUUUGUCUUCCAGACCAUCAAAACUUAAUUGAAGAAUAUCUUUGAUAUCUUUGUUCAAAGAGUUUUCAAAUUCAUCUAAUAUACUACACCAUUCUACUUGAUCUCUGGUACAGAGGAAAGAACCCAAAACAACGAGAGCCAAAGGAUGGCCUUUACAAUAACUUGUAGCACGUUUUGAAAGGUCUAAAUAAUUACUUGAUGGAUGAUUUUUCUUGAAAGCAUGCCAACUAAAAAGCUCAAUAGCUUUGUCUUCAUCCAAUCCUAGAAUAUUUUUCAUUUCAUCAAAGCCAUGGCUAGAAAGUAAAUGUUUGUUCCUUGUCGUCACAAUGAUUCUACUGCCUUGGCCAAACCAAUCACGCCCGCCAACCAAUGCUUCUAACUGCUCAAGCUUAUCUACAUCAUCAAGAACUAUAAGGACUUUCUUCAAACACAAUCUAUUCCUUAUGAUGUUAAUUCCUCUAUCAAGGUUGACAACCUUCAAAUCAACCGUUAGGAUCUCAUAGAGUAGGGUUUCCUGUAGUUGAGCAAGGCCAUUGAAUUGCUUUGAAGCUUCUCUAACAUUUGAUAGAAAGCAGCAACCUUCAAAUUGGCUAGCAAUUUUGUUGUAUAAAGCUUUAGCCAAAGUUGUCUUACCAAUGCCUCCAAUGCCAUAUAAGCCCACCAUGUAAACACCAGUAUCAGACUCAUACUCAUGUUGUUUUCGAUAAUGGAAUUUGUUGCUCUUCUCAAAAAGACUAUGUGAACGAAGCUUCAUAUAUUCUAGUUUAGAAUCAAUUCCAACCGGAUACUUAGCUACAUAUAAGGGCGUGCAAGUGCGGUUUAAUACAGACAACACUUUUUUAACAAGAUCUCCAAUAAGAUCAGCCUCCUUCCUGUUGUUAAGUGCAUAAUCAUACCAAAAUUAAAAGGGAUGAACACAUUUAAUUAUUAAAUUGCAUCUUGAGAGAGAAUGAAUCUUCUAAAAUUAAAAUUUGGUCUGUGUGCUUAUUUACAUACAUACGUAAAUACAUACAUACGUACAUACAUACAAAUCAUGGGCAUAAAAAUGAAAUUUGGAAUGGAAAAAAAAAAUGUCUGUAAAAAUAUAUACCUAGUUCCUAGAUUCCAACCAGACAAGUUAGCAGCAGUAGUUAAAGCUUCCCUCCAAAUUUGGGUCUUUGUUUGGAACUUAGGCUGAUGUUUGGCCAGUGCUUCUCCGAAGCUACCAGUUUGUUUUCGUAUAUCGGACGGAUCCACCUUAUAGAAAACUGGGAAAACAUUCUGGCCCUUGGAUUUCUUACACUCAAUUAUGUUCACCAACUCAUCCAGACACCAGGAAGAAGAUGCAUAAUUUUGAGAGAAUAUAACAAUAGAAAUGGAAGCUUCCUGUAUAGAUUUGAAAAGGGAUUCAGAAAUUUGCUCACCCCUUUCGAGCUUGUCGUUUAUGAAGACAUUGACACCCUUUUGACGCAAGGCCAUAUCAAGAUGACUGGUGAAAUUGGUGCGAGUAUCCUCUCCUCUGAAACUCAAAAACACAUCAUAAGUCCAUUUGAAAGUCGGUGAUUCUGUUGCAACAGUGGAAGAAUCCAUCAGAAAGAAAGACCAAGACUAAACAAAAGAGAAAAAAAUUGAAGAAUGAUGUAUUAGAUAAAGAGAAAAAAUCAGACGCUUCAACUCUCAAUAUAAUUUGAUUCAGUUGGCACCGCCAGUAAAGAAGUUGAUUGAUACAGUACAGCUUCCACUUUCAUCCAAAGACUUUUCUCUACCUCUCCCAUUUUUCCAUCAACAUCGUAAUUAAAUUGAAUGGAACAUAAAAGUCAAGAAGGUGGGAAGUCUGUUUGUAGAGUUCAUAUUUGGUUCACAUGUAUGGUUUUUAUUUUUUAGAAAACUGAAAUUAAAAAACUAACACUUCCUUUCAUAACCAUUUGGCUGUUAGUUUAGGAUUUUUGAAAACAAAACUUAUUUUCUCCUCCAAUUCUCACUGUAGUUUUUCUUUGUUCUUGAGUAACAAUUUGGACUUUAGCUAAUUCCAUGAGUAAAAACAAGUUUUUAAAUACUAAUUUUAGUUUUCGAAAAUUGAGUUUGUGUUUUGAAAAAAUAACAGUAGAAAGUAAAUGGUUAAAUUUAGAAGUCAAUAUUCACUCUUUUAUCUUUGUCUGUUUUUUUGUAUAUUUAACCGACUUCUCAGAAAAGCCAAUUUUAUCAUAAAUUUUCAAUUUAGUUAGAUUGAUGCCACAGAUAUUUAUCUUUAAAUAACAUCAUACUUAACAUUAUAAUUAUAAUGAUCAUAAUGUCGUAUUAGCAUUGCCUGUCAAAUUCGUCAUCCGAAACCAAAGAACAAUAACUGGAUUUUGGCUCUAAAUAAAUAAUCGGAAAAAAGUAGCUAGGGGAUAAAGAAGACAGGGUUCUUUUUUUGCUUCUUUUAAUAUAAACUUGAAGACAAAAGAUGAUUUGAUUUCACUUUUUAAUACAAUAUUUUUCCUUUAAUCAACUAUAUGUAGUAGGUUUGAAUGAUAGCAAAAGAAAGAAAAAAAAAACUAUAGCAAUUAUUUAAUUUCUACUUUGUUACGGGGAACAAGCGUGUAUGCGUUAGUUAAUUCUUGGAAAAUUCAAGGAAGAUUCUAAGAAAUGCAUGCCUAAAUAUUAUAGGGAAAUAUUUUAGAGUGUUUUGUGUAAUAUAGUCUUCAAACAAUCGAGACUAUAUAUUAUACUUCCUUUUUUAUAUAUAUAUAAAUUUGACUUCUUGUGUGAAUCUAACCAUAGUCCCACAUUCUUUAAAUAAGAGGAUGAUCUCGAAUAUAUAAGUAAGGAUAACUAUCUUCGUUGGUAUGAGACUUUUUAGGAUGAUACCAAAAGCAAAAUCAUGAGGAUGUAUACUCAAAGUGGAUAAUAUCGUACCAUUGUAGAGAUAUUUGGUGGAGUUGUUGUCCGAACAAUAAUAAAAUAGAAUAUUGCUUAUGAGACAAAAUGCAUUUCCUUCAAAAGCUCAAGUUCUAGUUCCCUUUUAUCAUUAUCCAAUUGAUAACCGAUUUAUAUGUCUACUCUAAAUGUUAGCAUUCAUAUGUUGGGGGAUUUCAAACUAAGAUCUGAUGAACAAUGGAUUUAUGUUUUGACGUUUAACAAUAUAUAAUUUGGGGAAAUGCUACUUCUAGUACGAGUCAUCCGAAGAAUACAAUGCAGUUCAUUGAAUUUUUCUUUGAUACGUUGAGUUGAGGAUAUACAUCAUGAGCCCCCAUGCAAGUGUGCCAUAAGGAUUGAUCAAUUCUUAAUUUUAAUAGCAAAAUCAUACUUUCCUUUUACACUUCCACCUUCUGAAUAAUCAGAUUUAAUCCAACGCUCUGCUCUAACCCAUGUCCCUUAAUUAUAUUCUCUCUAACAUUCAAAUUUUCAAAUGCCAAAUGAAAAAGAAAAGACUUCCAACUUUAUGCCUGAAUCCAAAUUGGUGUGUAUCAUGCAAAUCACCAAAUGAGGAUAUGAACCACGCCUUCAUCCACUGCCCUAAAGCACAGGAAUUCUGGAAGAAGUCUAAAGAGGAAAUUGGGACAAGUAUUAAAUGCACCUGAUAUGCUUGAACUCCUAUUUAUACACUUCAUAUACUAUUGAUAUACACUUGUAAACUUGAUUCAUAUAUUAAUUUGAUAAUGAUUCACUUUACUGAUAUGCUUUAACAAUAUAUUAUUCAUAUACUUGAUAAUGAUACACUAAGUUAAAUCAUUCAUAUACUUAAUAAUACUCUAAUGAACUACAUAAUUUGAAAAAAAUGAAAACAUGCAUUAACUAUACUAGCAAAUUAAUACAUAUAAUAUAAGUAUAUCACAAGACUAAUAUACGAAACUGAGACAAAGUAAAACCAAAAAAUUAAUGUAAAAACAUAAAACAAAAUCAGUUGGAAUCAGAUUCAACUCAAAAUACACAUCGAAGAAAAUAAAAUAAAAUCCCAAAUGAAGUUAAAUUACUUCAAUCAACCACCAUUAUAUUAUAUUUCAUUUUGCAAUUAUUGUACUAUUGAUAUUUUAAAAUUAAGAUUAAGACAUAAAGAAUAAAUAAUUUUUCUAGUAUAAGAAUAAAUAAAUAAUUAGUAGAGCAUUCAAAAGAGGAAGAAAAAAAAUAGGAAGAAAAAUAAGUUAUUGAAUGGUAGUUUAGGAAUAAUAACAAAUUUAAGAUAUUUUGUCAUAUUUGCAAAAUUCUAAAACAAUGUGCUAUAAUUGCUAAUAUUCUCAAAAUGUUAUCCUAUGCAAUUUCUCAAAAAUUAUUUAUUCUUUCGGUCUUAAUCUUAAUUUUAGAAUAUUAAUAGUACAAUAAUUGUAAUAUGAAAUAUAGUGGUUGUUGAUCGGAGUAAUUUACCUUCAUUUGUGAUUUUUUUUUUUUACUUUUUUCCACGUGUAUUUUGAGUUGAAUUUGAUUUCAAAUGAUUUUUUUUAUAUUAAUUUUGUUUUGGUUUUAUUUUGUCUCAGUUUUGUAUAUAUCAGUGUUGUGAUAUACUUAUAUUAUAUGUAUUAGUUGGUUAAUAUACUUACUACGUGAUUUUCAUUUUUUCAAAUUUUAUGCAGUUCAUUAGAGUAUUAUUAAGUUUAUGAAUGAUGUAACUCAGUAUAUCAUUAUCAAGUAUAACAACAAAAUAUUAUUACAAAAUAUCAAUAAAGUAAAUCAUUAUCGAAUAUAUGAAUCAAAUUUACAAGUGUAUAUCAAUGGUACAUCAAGUGUAUAUCAAUGGUACAUCAAGUGUAUAUAUAAGUAGGACUUCAAGCAUAUCACGUGCAUUUAAUCAAUCAAUUGUAUAAGUGAAGAAUACUAAAUGUAUCUGUAGUGCAUCAGGUGUAUCAAACAUAUCAUGUACAUCAAACAUAUCAAAUUUAAAUUUGUUGAGUGUUCCAAUGAAGCAUAACAAGUUUAUUAGCAGUGUAUCAAACUUAUAAAUGAAGUCUUUAAGUAUCAAAGCCUAAGUGGUAUCAAAUAUAUCAAGAAGAAUCAAGUGUAACGAGGAGUAUUAUAAUGUGUAUCAAGAUAUUUCAGGUGUGUAUCAAAAGGUAUCGAAUGUAUAAAACAGUACCAGAUGCAUCAAAUGUAUCAAUCAAAUGUAUCGGGUGUAUAAAAAAGUAUCAGGUGUAUCAAUGAGUAUUAAGUGUAUCAGACGUGUAUAAGGUGUAUCAAAGGUAUAUUAGUAACAAAGGUAUUUGUGACAUUUCACCUUUUGAUGUGUGGACUGAGUUUCAUUUUUUUGUCAUUUUUACAAAUAAUAAAGUGUGUUUAGGAUUAAUUAUUAUAACUUAUUCUGAUAUUUUUGAGGUGCCCCAAAUAAAUAUAAAUAUGUUUAGGAUUGUUUAUGCUUCAACAUGCAUGGAACAAUAAAAUAAUUCUGGAUCUCAAUUUGAUUUUAUGGCUCUGUUUCUAGAUUGUAAACAUAUAGAGUACAUAGGGGUAUAGAUAAACAAAAAUUAGGUGUGGCCACCUUCUACCAUUUUCUAAAGACACUGGUAAGUAAUUUAAACAUUUGCAACACAAACUUGGAAAAUUAAUUUGAGGGUGGAUCAACGGGCCCAGGGUUGCCAUAAGGAUGGAUCAACCCUUCUAAUAAUGAAAUGAUGAUUUCUUGCAACAUCAUGAUCUUCAAAUCUGUAAAUCUCAAUCCAACGAGGCUUUGCUAUAGCCCAUGCACUUACAAAUCUGUAUACUCUAUCAUCCAAAUUUUCAAAGUAUAUGUAAUACAUUUUGGAUGAUGUAAUUGUACUAUGGUUUGCGAUAAUGUUGGUCCCUUUUUUACAACCUCCACGCUUGUCGAGGCCCGAAUAUCUCAUGAAACGGUACUGUGAUUCUUCGACCAAGUAAAAGCUUGUAGGAUUAUCUAAAGGUUGUCUCCAAUCAUUAUCAUAUGACCAAUUAAAUUUGUUGCAUACAGAGUUGGCUAGUGCAGUUUUUGCCAUGCCUUCCAUUCCACAUAUCACUGUAUCACCAUUAUAUGAUACGUGCAACGGGAAAACCAUAGGUUGUACGUUGGAACCAAUUAUUGCUUCUGGAGCAUAACUUCCUGCAUGCAACAUUGCUUUGCAAUUUGACAAGGAGGACAUUUCUUCAAAAAAGCGUUUGACAAGAAGAUCCUCAAUAUCCCUGUGUGCCAUUAAGUUAAAACAACAUAUUAUCAUAUCGGUCCAUAUAUUAACCUAAUCCUACUUUCACUCAAAAAAAAAAAAAAAAAGAGUAAACAAUCAACUUACAGAUUUUGCAAUUUCUCCAGUUGAUAAAAAUCAGCAUAAUUUACCACCGGCCACUUGACAUCCAUUUGUAUUAUCCCAUGGAGCUCUUCAGUGACAUGGACACCACAUCUUCUUAUACUUGUAUUUACCUCAUCAUGAACCUCAAACCAAACCAAAACUUCUUUCCAAUCAUUCACCUCCAUGGAACCCCAAGCUAGAGAAGUUGACACUAACCACACAUAUUCUGAUUUUGAUGGAAGAAAUGAUCUUGAAAAAGAACAAUGCAGUCUAUUGCAGAUGAAUAUAUUGCAUGAAAUUCUUUCAGAUGAAUCUCCAUUCACUGUGAAACUAACACAGGCAGCCAAAGUUCUUUCCAUGUCUGGAUAGUGACGAAAGCUAGCACUCACUAAAUUUGAUGUAGUCUUAUAGCUGAACCAUUCUGGAACCUCAAUGCCUGUUAGUAAGAACUCUCUUGAAAUCUCACCCAAUGUGAGGUCCUACAAAAUAAUUGAAGAAUUUUGAUAUGCAUAAAACUUUUUACAAAAUAUCAUAACAAAUUGAAUGGAAAGAAACAGAACCUGUUUUUUUGAUAUUAUAUCCCCAAUGUUAUCUGGACUUUUACCCACCAAUUUACAGCCAUUCGCAUUCAAAAUUUGUAUGUUUUGAGGAAGGUUCGGAAUUUCUUGAAGAGACCUGCAAUUUCUUAAGUCAAGUUUCAAUAGGGACAUUAACAAAGAAAUUGUAUUGGGAAGGGAGAUGAGGCCUGUGCAACUGUCAAGGUUUAAUCGAGAUAGAUUGGUAAGAUAUCCCAUUGAUGAAGGUAACUCCUUUAUGGCAGUAAAAUCCAAAUCCAAGGACCUUAAAGAUUUCAUGCUUUCAGCAAUUGUUGGGAAGCUUUCAAGCUUACAACACCCAGAAAGUGAUAAAUAUCGAAGAGACUUUAACCUAAG